Molecule: long non-coding RNA, 596 nt
Organism: Canis lupus familiaris (dog)
Lineage: Eukaryota; Metazoa; Chordata; Mammalia; Carnivora; Canidae
Exons: 3
Source: RefSeq, a predicted model, not a curated record
GUUAACAAGGACACAGUAACGAACGUUCCAGGGCGGCCGCGGAGACAGAAAGUAAACCGAAGGGCUGGCAGCCGGCCCUCCUCACAGAUGGGGACUUCGUCCUCCCGGCGGGGGCAAGGGACGUCUCCCAAGACCCCCGGGCUACGGCCUGCCAGCGCGUCCGCCUAAGCUGAUGUCAACCUAAUACACAUUGGAACUCCGACCCGUAGAAAUACAGUCUAGAGCUCGCAGAGAAUAUGCGCCAAAAGGACAUGGACAUCUUUGGGUCCACAGUGCAGCUCACCACAAGAAGUCGAGGACAAAGGCAGAAAAGAGGAAGCUUCUGCUGACAAAUGCCCUGUUUGCCAGACAGAGCAUGGAAUGGUGGAGGAGCAAACAGAGAAGUAGAGGGAGAAACUUAAGCAGAUGCCAUGUUCAGUGUGGAGCCCCAGUUGGGUCGUGAUCAUGACUGAGCUAAAAUCAAGACUCCAUCUGAGUUGCCCAUGUGCCCCUCUAAUAUUUUAUUUAUAUUAUAUUUUAUUAUAAUAUCUGCAAAUAAUUAGUUUCCUUUCUACUCCUUGUUUAAUUAUUGUUUCCUUGCACUGGCUAAAAUCCAU